CCGGAGCUAACGCGUUAAGUAAGCCGCCUGGGGAGUACGGCCGCAAGGUUAAAACUCAAAGAAAUUGACGGGGACCCGCACAAGCGGUGGAUGAUGUGGAUUAAUUCGAUGCAACGCGAAGAACCUUACCUGGUCUUGACAUGUCAGGAAUCCUGCAGAGAUGCGGGAGUGCCUUCGGGAACCUGAACACAGGUGCUGCAUGGCUGUCGUCAGCUCGUGUCGUGAGAUGUUGGGUUAAGUCCCGCAACGAGCGCAACCCUUGUCACUAGUUGCUACGAAAGGGCACUCUAGUGAGACUGCCGGUGACAAACCGGAGGAAGGUGGGGAUGACGUCAAGUCCUCAUGGCCCUUAUGACCAGGGCCUCACACGUCAUACAAUGGUCGGUACAGAGGGUAGCCAACCCGCGAGGGGGAGCCAAUCCCAGAAAGCCGAUCGUAGUCCGGAUUGCAGUCUGCAACUCGACUGCAUGAAGUCGGAAUCGCUAGUAAUCGCAGGUCAGCAUACUGCGGUGAAUACGUUCCCGGGUCUUGUACACACCGCCCGUCACACCAUGGGAGUGGGUUGCUCCAGAAGUAGUUAGCCUAACCGCAAGGAGGGCGAUUACCACGGAGUGUUC
This 617-nucleotide ribosomal RNA is filed under the name uncultured Gammaproteobacteria bacterium. RNAcentral describes it as "bacterial SSU rRNA". It matches the Rfam family "Bacterial small subunit ribosomal RNA", at positions 846 to 1469 of the family's 1533-position model. Lineage: Bacteria; Pseudomonadati; Pseudomonadota; Gammaproteobacteria. The record is from RNAcentral.